ACUUUAAUUGAAGAGUUUGAUCAUGGCUCAGAUUGAACGCUGGCGGCAGGCCUAACACAUGCAAGUCGAGCGGUAACAGGAAUUAGCUUGCUAAUUCGCUGACGAGCGGCGGACGGGU
This 118-nucleotide ribosomal RNA is filed under the name Aliivibrio logei. Its description in RNAcentral is "partial 16S ribosomal RNA". It matches the Rfam family "Bacterial small subunit ribosomal RNA", at positions 1 to 107 of the family's 1533-position model. Lineage: Bacteria; Pseudomonadati; Pseudomonadota; Gammaproteobacteria; Vibrionales; Vibrionaceae. The record is from RNAcentral.